Molecule: ribosomal RNA, 465 nt
Filed under: uncultured bacterium
Lineage: Bacteria
Description: bacterial SSU rRNA
Rfam family: Bacterial small subunit ribosomal RNA
Source: RNAcentral
CCUACGGGGGGCACCAGUGGAGAAUAUUGCACAAUGGGCGCAAGCCUGAUGCAGCCAUGCCGCGUGUAUGAAGAAGGCCUUCGGGUUAUAAAGUACUUUCAGCGGGGAGGAAGGUGUUGCGGUUAAUAACCACAGCAAUUGACGUUACCCGCAGAAGAAGCACCGGCUAACUCCGUGCCAGCAGCCGCGGUAAUACGGAGGGUGCAAGCGUUAAUCGGAAUUACUGGGCGUGAAGCGCACGCAGGCGGUCUGUCAAGUCGGAUGUGAAAUCCCCGGGCUCAACCUGGGAACUGCAUUCGAAACUGGCAGGCUAGAGUCUUGUAGAGGGGGGUAGAAUUCCAGGUGUAGCGGUGAAAUGCGUAGAGAUCUGGGGGAAUACCGGUGGCGAAGGCGGCCCCCUGGACAAAGACUGACGCUCAGGUGCGAAAGCGUGGGGAGCAAACAGGAUUAGAUACCCGCGUAGUC